Molecule: transfer RNA, 70 nt
Filed under: Paulasterias sp. SS-2022
Lineage: Eukaryota; Metazoa; Echinodermata; Asteroidea; Forcipulatida; Paulasteriidae
Description: tRNA-His
Rfam family: tRNA
About the family: Transfer RNA (tRNA) molecules are approximately 80 nucleotides in length. Their secondary structure includes four short double-helical elements and three loops (D, anti-codon, and T loops).
Source: RNAcentral
ACUAAAGUAGUUUAAAAUAAACAUUAAUUUGUGGUAUUAAAAUUAUUAGUUAAAAUCUAAUCUAUAGUCC